RNAcentral lists this ribosomal RNA (545 nucleotides) under Bacillus subtilis. Its description in RNAcentral is "bacterial SSU rRNA". It matches the Rfam family "Bacterial small subunit ribosomal RNA", at positions 341 to 876 of the family's 1533-position model. The record is from RNAcentral. Lineage: Bacteria; Bacillati; Bacillota; Bacilli; Caryophanales; Bacillaceae.
ACGGGAGGCAGCAGUAGGGAAUCUUCCGCAAUGGACGAAAGUCUGACGGAGCAACGCCGCGUGAGUGAUGAAGGUUUUCGGAUCGUAAAGCUCUGUUGUUAGGGAAGAACAAGUACCGUUCGAAUAGGGCGGUACCUUGACGGUACCUAACCAGAAAGCCACGGCUAACUACGUGCCAGCAGCCGCGGUAAUACGUAGGUGGCAAGCGUUGUCCGGAAUUAUUGGGCGUAAAGGGCUCGCAGGCGGUUUCUUAAGUCUGAUGUGAAAGCCCCCGGCUCAACCGGGGAGGGUCAUUGGAAACUGGGGAACUUGAGUGCAGAAGAGGAGAGUGGAAUUCCACGUGUAGCGGUGAAAUGCGUAGAGAUGUGGAGGAACACCAGUGGCGAAGGCGACUCUCUGGUCUGUAACUGACGCUGAGGAGCGAAAGCGUGGGGAGCGAACAGGAUUAGAUACCCUGGUAGUCCACGCCGUAAACGAUGAGUGCUAAGUGUUAGGGGGUUUCCGCCCCUUAGUGCUGCAGCUAACGCAUUAAGCACUCCGCCUGG